UCAUCUUUUAUAUUAUAUUUGCAUAGAAUGAUAAAGUAGGUACCAUGUAGGUUAAUUUAUUUAAUAUUGAUCCUUUGUAAUAAGUUGAAUGCAUCAUCACUUUAAAGAGCUUUAUAUUUCAUUCGACCCAAAAGAACUUAAAAAAAUAAGGUAAUGUUUUUUGGUACUUAGAAAUUUGGGAAGUAGUGCCCUAACAUGCUGGGUUGCGAUUUCCCGUUUGUCUAAAUGCCUAAAAUAUCAUUCUAAAAUAAGUUUUGAAAAUCACAAGAUGAUUUUAGUUACAAAAGUUUAAAAAUAUCGUG
This 302-nucleotide long non-coding RNA is filed under the name Gossypium barbadense (sea-island cotton). RNAcentral's name for it is "long non-coding RNA (GBAR_LNC010891)". The record is from RNAcentral. Lineage: Eukaryota; Viridiplantae; Streptophyta; Magnoliopsida; Malvales; Malvaceae.